UCGAUGAUCUCUGAAACUUUA
Molecule: non-coding RNA, 21 nt
Filed under: Caenorhabditis elegans
Lineage: Eukaryota; Metazoa; Nematoda; Chromadorea; Rhabditida; Rhabditidae
Source: RNAcentral